This 2873-nucleotide ribosomal RNA is filed under the name Prochlorococcus sp. W11. RNAcentral describes it as "bacterial LSU rRNA". It matches the Rfam family "Bacterial large subunit ribosomal RNA". The record is from RNAcentral. Lineage: Bacteria; Bacillati; Cyanobacteriota; Cyanophyceae; Synechococcales; Prochlorococcaceae.
UCAAGCUACAAAGGGCUCACGGAGGAUACCUAGGCACAUAGAGGCGAUGAAGGACGUGGUUACCUGCGAUAAGUCUCGGGGAGUUGGAAGCACACUUUGAUCCGGGAAUUUCCGAAUGGGGCAACCCCUUGAACGACCAACUGAAUAUAUAGGUUGGUGCGAGCUAACCCAGCGAACUGAAACAUCUUAGUAGCUGGAGGAAGAGAAAGUAAAUAACGACUCCCUCAGUAGCGGCGAGCGAACGGGGAAAAGCCCAAACCGAUAGUCUUGACUAUCGGGGUUGUGGGACAGCAACAUGGAUUAACAAGUCUAGAAGAAGCGUUUGAAUGGCGCGCCACAGAGGGUGAAAGCCCCGUAAUUGAAAGAUGAGUUGACCUAGCUGUAUCCCGAGUAGCACGGAGCACGUGGAAUUCCGUGUGAAUCUGCGAGGACCACCUCGUAAGGCUAAGUACUACUAUGUGACCGAUAGUGAAACAGUACCGUGAGGGAAAGGUGAAAAGAACCCCGGAAGGGGAGUGAAAUAGAACAUGAAACCGUGAGCCUACAAGCAAUGGGAGCCCGACUAAUCGGGUGACCGUGUGCCUGUUGAAGAAUGAGCCGGCGACUUAUAGGCACUGGCGGGUUAAACCGAAAAUGGUGGAGCCACAGCGAAAGCGAGUCUGAAUAGGGCGUUUGUCAGUGUUUAUAGACCCGAACCUUGGUGAUCUAACCAUGGCCAGGAUGAAGCUUGGGUGAUACCAAGUGGAGGUCCCAACCGAAUGAAGUUGAAAAUUCAUCGGAUGAGCUGUGGUUAGCGGUGAAAUGCCAAUCGAACCAAGAGCUAGCUGGUUCUCCCCGAAAUACGUUUAGGCGUAGCGUCUAGUGCUCCAGCAGGGGGGUAAAGCAACCAUUUCGGUGCGGGCUGCGAAAGCGGUACCAAAUCGAUAUGAACUCUGAAUACCCUGUGUGUAACUAGGCAGUCAGACUGUGGGGGAUAAGCUCCAUAGUCAAGAGGGAAACAGCCCAGACCGCCAGCUAAGGUCCCAAAAUUAACGCUAAGUGAUAAAGGAGGUGGGAUUGCCCAGACAACCAGGAGGUUUGCCUAGAAGCAGCCAUCCUCAAAGGAGUGCGUAAUAGCUCACUGGUCGAGCGAUCCUGCGCCGAAAAUGAAUGGGGCUAAGCGUUAUACCGAAGCUGCGGAUAAUUUAUUUAUGGUAGGGGAGCGUUCUAUGUUGGGUGAAGCGUUAGCGUAAGCGGGCGUGGACGGCAUAGAAGUGAGAAUGUCGGCUUGAGUAGCGAAAACAUGGGUGAGAAUCCCAUGCCCCGAAACCCUAAGGGUUCCUCCGGCAGGCUCGUCCGCGGAGGGUUAGUCUGGACCUAAGGUCAGGCCGAAAGGCGUAGUCGAUGGAUAACAGGUCAAUAUUCCUGUACCAGAUGUGUUUUGGGAAGGGGGACGGAGAAGGCUAGCCAAUCCAGAUGUUGGUUACUGGUUCAAGCGUUCAAGGCUUUGAGAGAUGGUGAAAACAUCUUGAGCUGAGGCGUGAGUACGAGCUGCUACGGCAGCGAAGUUGGUGAUGUCAUGCUUCCAAGAAAAGCCCUAUACCCGUUAAGACACAAAUGCCAGUACCCGAAACCGACACAGGUGGGGUGGUAGAGAAUACCGAGGGGCGCGAGAUAACUCUCUCUAAGGAACUCGGCAAAAUGGCCCCGUAACUUCGGGAGAAGGGGUGCCAGCGAGAGCUGGUCGCAGUGAAGAGGCGCAAGCGACUGUUUACCAAAAACACAGGUCUCCGCUAAGUCGCAAGACGAUGUAUGGGGGCUGACACCUGCCCAGUGCCGGAAGGUUAAGGAAGCUGGUUAGCUUUUAGCAAAGCUAGCGACUGAAGCCCCGGUGAACGGCGGCCGUAACUAUAACGGUCCUAAGGUAGCGAAAUUCCUUGUCGGGUAAGUUCCGACCCGCACGAAAGGUGUAACGAUUUGCGCGCUGUCUCGGAGAGAGGCUCGGCGAAAUAGAAUUGUCUGUGAAGAUGCGGACUACAUACACCCGGACAGAAAGACCCUAUGAAGCUUUACUGUAGCUUGAUAUUGUGCUCGGGCUUUGAAUGCGCAGAAUAGGUGGGAGACAUUGAUAUAGUGCUUGUGGGUACUAUUGAGUCAACGGUGAGAUACCACUCUUUCAGAGCUAGGGUUCUAACGCUUACCCGUUAUCCGGGAAGCGGACAGUAUCUGGUGGGCAGUUUGACUGGGGCGGUCGCCUCCUAAAAGGUAACGGAGGCGCACAAAGGUUCCCUCAGGCUGGUUGGAAAUCAGUCGUUGAGUGCAAAAGCAGAAGGGAGCUUGACUGUGAGACCUACAAGUCGAACAGGGACGAAAGUCGGUUUUAGUGAUCCGACGGUUCUGCGUGGAAGGGCCGUCGCUCAACGGAUAAAAGUUACUCUAGGGAUAACAGGCUGAUCUCCCCCAAGAGUUCACAUCGACGGGGAGGUUUGGCACCUCGAUGUCGGCUCAUCGCAACCUGGGGCUGAAGUCGGUCACAAGGGUUGGGCUGUUCGCCCAUUAAAGCGGUACGCGAGCUGGGUUCAGAACGUCGUGAGACAGUUCGGUCCAUAUCCGGUGUAUGCGCAGGAAUAUUGAGAGGAUUUCUCCCUAGUACGAGAGGACCGGGAGGAACGCACCUCUGGUGUGCCAGUUAUCGUGCCAACGGUAAACGCUGGGUAGCCAUGUGCGGAGUGGAUAACCGCUGAAAGCAUCUAAGUGGGAAGCCCACCUCAAGAUGAGUAUUCCCAUGGCAUAAGCCAGUAAGGUCACGGGAAGAACACCCGUUGAUAGGCUCUACGUGGAAGCUUGGUAACAAGUGCAGCGGAGGAGUACUAAUAGACCGAGGGCUUGACCAA